UAGGGAAUCUUCCGCAAUGGGCGAAAGCCUGACGGAGCAACGCCGCGUGAGUGAUGAAGGUCUUCGGAUAGUAAAACUCUGUUAUUAGGGAAGAACAAAUGUGUAAGUAACUAUGCACGUCUUGACGGUACCUAAUCAGAAAGCCACGGCUAACUACGUGCCAGCAGCCGCGGUAAUACGUAGGUGGCAAGCGUUAUCCGGAACUAUUGGGCGUAAAGCGCGCGUAGGCGGUUUUUUAAGUCUGAUGUGAAAGCCCACGGCUCAACCGUGGAGGGUCAUUGGAAACUGGAAAACUUGAGUGCAGAAGAGGAAAGUGGAAUUCCAUGUGUAGCGGUGAAAUGCGCAGAGAUAUGGAGGAACACCAGUGGCGAAGGCGACUUUCUGGUCUGUAACUGACGCUGAUGUGCGAAAGCGUGGGGAUCAAACAGG
RNAcentral lists this ribosomal RNA (429 nucleotides) under Actinomycetes bacterium. Its description in RNAcentral is "Actinobacteria bacterium partial 16S ribosomal RNA". It matches the Rfam family "Bacterial small subunit ribosomal RNA", at positions 355 to 776 of the family's 1533-position model. Lineage: Bacteria; Bacillati; Actinomycetota; Actinomycetes. The record is from RNAcentral.